RNAcentral lists this ribosomal RNA (795 nucleotides) under uncultured Rubrobacter sp. RNAcentral's name for it is "bacterial SSU rRNA". It matches the Rfam family "Bacterial small subunit ribosomal RNA", at positions 8 to 796 of the family's 1533-position model. Lineage: Bacteria; Bacillati; Actinomycetota; Rubrobacteria; Rubrobacterales; Rubrobacteraceae. The record is from RNAcentral.
AGAGUUUGAUCCUGGCUCAGGACGAACGCUGGCGGCGUGGAUUAGGCAUGCAAGUCGAGCGGCAAGGAACCUUCGGGUUCCCUAGAGCGGCGAACGGGUGAGUAACACGUGAACAAUCUGUCCCUACAUUCCGGAUAAUUGGAAGAAAUUCCUUGUAAUACGGGGGAGGACCACCGAAAGGCAUCUUUCGGUGUGGGAACAUGCAAAUGGUGCAGGGAGGAGUUCGCGGCCUAUCAGGUAGUUGGUGUGGUAACGGCACACCAAGCCUACGACGGGUAGCUGGUCUGAGAGGAUGGUCAGCCACAUUGGAACUGAGACACUGUCCAGACUCCUACGGGAGGCAGCAGCCAGGAAUCUUGGGCAAUGGGCGAAAGCCUGACCCAGCAACACCGUGUGGGCGAUGAAGGCCUUAGGGUCGUAAAGCCCUGUUGAUAGGGACGAAGGGCGAAGGGUUAAUAGCCCCUAGCUUGACGGUACCUUUCGAGGAAGCCCCGGCUAACUACGUGCCAGCAGCCGCGGUAAUACGUAGGGGGCGAGCGUUGUCCGGAAUUAUUGGGCGUAAAGAGCGUGUAGGCGGUUCGGUAAGUCUGUCGUGAAAUCCUGGGGCUCAACCCCGGGCGUGCGAUGGAUACUGCCGGGCUAGAGGGUGGUAGAGGCGAGUGGAAUUCCCGGUGUAGCGGUGAAAUGCGCAGAUAUCGGGAGGAACACCAGUAGCGAAGGCGGCUCGCUGGGCCACACCUGACGCUGAGACGCGAAAGCUAGGGGAGCGAACAGGAUUAGAUACCCCAGUAGUCC